RNAcentral lists this long non-coding RNA (520 nucleotides) under Mus pahari (shrew mouse). Its description in RNAcentral is "lncRNA (MGP_PahariEiJ_G0003781.1)". Lineage: Eukaryota; Metazoa; Chordata; Mammalia; Rodentia; Muridae. The record is from RNAcentral.
ACAUUUUUUUUCUUCCUUUAAGGAAAGAUGAAGGUUUAAUCUGAAUCUUAUUAGAGUUGCUACUGGUCCCUGGGAAUCUUUCCCUUUGGCUUCCUGGAGGCUGUGGGCUUUGCUCUGCCUCUGGGGUCUUUAUCUCCCUGUCCCCCAGUGGGUCAUAACAAGGGCUGCCUUGCUCCAUGUGAUUGUCAGCAUGCUGCCUCCUCAUCCUCCACACAGGCUAGAAAUAAUAAAGAUCCACUGCUGGCCCUUCCCUGGCUGCUACUCCUCAGAAAAUAACCAAGGUUCAUUUCGUGUCACUACUGAGGAGCCUCAAGAGAUCAGAGAUGGAGGGGGUGAGCUUUGAGGCAGAUGUCUCCUGGCUCCACCCCCUCAGAGGUCACCUGGAGUUGUCAUCUCUCUGGACUAGAGGUCUCUUCCCAUGUGUCCUGUCACUUCCCUACAUCGCAGGACCUUCCUGGACCUGUCCCUCACUUUUGUGGAUAGACUGCUAAUUAAACACUCCUCAAAUUAUUCUGCUGGG